RNAcentral lists this ribosomal RNA (1677 nucleotides) under Rhipicephalus microplus (southern cattle tick). RNAcentral describes it as "SSU rRNA". It matches the Rfam family "Eukaryotic small subunit ribosomal RNA". The record is from RNAcentral. Lineage: Eukaryota; Metazoa; Arthropoda; Arachnida; Ixodida; Ixodidae.
CCUGGUUGAUCCUGCCAGUAAUCAUAUGCUUGUCAUAAAGAUUAAGCCAUGCAUGUCUAAGUACAUGCCGAAAUAAGGCGAAACCGCGAAUGGCUCAUUAAAUCAGUUAUGGUUCCUUAGAUCGUUUCUUCCUACUUGGAUAACUGUGGCAAUUCUAGAGCUAAUACAUGCAGUGAGCCUGGAGCCCUUUGGGUAACGGGUGCUUUUAUUAGACCAAGAUCGAUCGGGUUUCGGCCCGUAUUGUGUGGUGACUCUGGAUAACUUUGUGCUGAUCGCAUGGCCACGAGCCGGCGACGUUUCUUUCAAGUGUCUGCCUUAUCAACUUUCGAUGGUAGGUUACUUGCUUACCAUGGUUGUUACGGGUAACGGAGAAUCAGGGUUCGAUUCCGGAGAGGGAGCCUGAGAAACGGCUACCACACCAACCAAGGAAGGCAGCAGGCGCGCAAAUUACCCACUCCCGGCACGGGGAGGUAGUGACGAAAAAUAACAAUACGGGACUCUUUUGAGGCCCCGUAAUUGAAAUGAGUACACUCUAAAUCCUUUAACGAGGAUCAAUUGGAGGGCAAGUCUGGUGCCAGCAGCCGCGGUAAUUCCAGCUCCAAUAGCGUAUACUAAAGCUGCUGCGGUUAAAAAGCUCGUAGUUGGAUCUCAGUUCCAGACGAGUAGUGCAUCUACCCGAUGCGACGGCUCGGACUGAACAUCAUGCCGGUUCUUUCUUGGUGCACUUCAUUGUGUGCCUCGAGAUGGCCCCGGUGCUUCUUUUACUUUGAAAAAAUUAGAGUGCUCAACGCAGGCGAGUCGCCUGAAUAAACUUGCAUGGAAUAAUAGAACAAGACCUCGUUUCUGUUCUGUUGGUUUUUGGAAUACGAGGUAAUGAUUAAGAGGGACGGACGGGGGCAUUCGUAUUGCGGCGCUAGAGGUGAAAUUCUUGGACCGUCGCAAGACGAACUACUGCGAAAGCAUUUGCCAAGAAUGUUUUCAUUGAUCAAGAACGAAAGUCAGAGGUUCGAAGGCGAUCAGAUACCGCCCUAGUUCUGACCAUAAACGAUGCCAACCAGCGAUCCGCCUGAGUUACUCAAAUGACUCGGCGGGCAGCUUCCGGGAAACCAAAGUAUUUGGGUUCCGGGGGAAGUAUGGUUGCAAAGCUGAAACUUAAAGGAAUUGACGGAAGGGCACCACCAGGAGUGGAGCCUGCGGCUUAAUUUGACUCAACACGGGAAAACUUACCCGGCCCGGACACUGGGAGGAUUGACAGAUUGAGAGCUCUUUCUUGAUUCGGUGGAUGGUGGUGCAUGGCCGUUCUUAGUUGGUGGAGCGAUUUGUCUGGUUAAUUCCGAUAACGAACGAGACUCUAGCCUAUUAAAUAGGUGCGGGGUUCCCAGCACCUUACAACCUUCUUAGAGGGACAAGCGGCUCCUAGCCGCACGAAACAGAGCAAUAACAGGUCUGUGAUGCCCUUAGAUGUCCGGGGCCGCACGCGCGCUACACUGAAGGAAGCAGCGUGUCUUUAUCCCUGUCUGAAAAGACUGGGUAACCCGUGGAACUUCUUUCGUGAUUGGGAUAGGGGCUUGCAAUUGUUCCCCUUGAACGAGGAAUUCCCAGUAAGCGCGAGUCAUAAGCUCGCGUUGAUUACGUCCCUGCCCUUUGUACACACCGCCCGUCGCUACUACCGAUUGU